GGCCUCACUCUAGUUGCGGCUGUUAAGCAGCCCCCCGAGGGCUGUUUGGCGCCCAGGGGCCUCAUGUUCUGUGAACCGUUUUCGCAGCUCCGUGCUGCCCAGGCUCCUUUGGCCGCCCUUCCGACCUUGCUAAGCUUAAGGUGCUUAAGGCCUCCUGGCACCUGGGGGUGAUGCUGCACCCCGCGGCCUCCAUUCCCGGGGGCCCAUCAUUUCCAGGCUGUCUCGGAGCCGGCUCUGUGGGCGCCUCUGUAACAUCGGGCCUGCAGGAGAGCCGUCCCUGACUGUCCUUGUGGGGCGGACCUCCUGCUCACCAGGCAGUCAUGCCUUUGGGGGAUGGUGUGUCUGGCAGGCCCACCUCGGCAUGUGUCUUCUGGUGGGUGCCCUGGCCGCAGCGACACCUCCCCCGUGCUCCCACGGCUGGCCUCCACGGAGCCGUAAGUGGCACGUCUCCAUGGCCAGCACCCAUUGCAAACUAAAUGGUCGACCUUCCAACCUCAUCUGUUGUCAGUUCUAGAAGCAACUGUAUGUUUCUGCUCCUCAUGUGACCUCACGUGGUCUUCAGUCAUCGGGUGUCUGAUGCUUAUUCCUUCAUAAGUUCCGUAGGAAGGACUCAUAGGAAUGUUACUCCCUGAGUUCUUCCAUGUUAGAGCCGAGGGCCAGUUUUGCUGGGUCGUAAGUUCUUGGCUCACAUGUUCUCCCUUUGGAUUUCUGAAGUACACGCCUCACUCUGGCAUGAGGCGUUAUGUCAAAAGUCUAGUGAGCACUUUAUUUCUUUUUAAAGUCACAUGCCUUUAUUUAUUUAUUUGUUUGUUUUGGCCUAAAUGCUCAGAGGAGUUUUUCUUUGCUUUAAAGUCGAGUCAUUUUGCUAAGAUACCCCUUGGAGUGGGUUGUCCUGUGUGAGUGAUCUCAGGUGCGUGGUGUGCUCUUCCACGGUGAGGGCCUGGGGUGGUUUUCCUUUCGUUGUGAACAGAACACCCAUCUCGGAGGAAAUAAGGGUUCUGACCCAGAUUAGGCGUUUUGUGGUUUGACUUCAUCCUGGGCAUCGUCUCUGCUGAUAGUCCCUGGCUCUGGGCCUGCGGCCACCCUGCACCGAGGAAAGGUCUUUUCGCAGGCGGUGGGGUAGGUCGGCGUGUCCAGUCCUCUGACCCUUAAAACAACACAGAUUGUGUCAUUCACUUUUCCAUUCAUUUAUCCAACAAAACUUAGCGAGUCUCAGUUAUGUGCCAGCCGCUGUUCUAGACGCUGAGAAAGCAAUCGUGGCUGUCUGCAUUGUGGCUCAGCAGGUUAAGAACCCGGCACAGUGUCUGCGAGGAUGUGAAUUUGAUCUCUGGCCCUGCUCGGUGAGUUAAGGAUCUGGUGUUGCUGCAAGUUAUGGCACAGGUCGCAGACGUGGCCGGAUCUGGCGUUGGCUGUGGCUGUGGUGUAGGCUGGCAGCUGCAGCUCCGAUUCAACCCCUCACCUGGGAACUUCAUAUGCUGCAGGUGCAGCCCUAAAAGGAAUGAAAAGAAAGCACUUGUGAGCAAAUACUAGACAGCGAGGGGCAUUCCUUCAAAGUAACCGAGGUAAAGGGAGAGGCGGGAGUACAGAGGAGGUCAGCUCGGCCUGGAGUUUCUAACUGGUGAACUGGGUGAGGUGCGUUAUGCCAGUUUCUCUACUUUGGUGUGUUUGAAACUUUCCAUAAUAAAAAGAUUUUAAGAUACAUACAGUUCUUGCCUCUAGGCAGUUUGCGGUCUGCUGCAGAGGUAGUUACUAAUUUUUUUUUUUUUUGUCAGGACCAUUUAUUUAUUUAUUUAUUUUUGUCUCUUUGCGAUUUCUUGGGCCGCUCCCGCGGCAUAUGGAGGUUCCCAGGCUAGGGGUCUAAUCGGAGCUCCACCGGCCUACACCAGAGCCACAGCAAUGCGGGAUCCGAGCCGCAUCUGCGACCUACACCACAGGUCACGACAACGCCGGAUCGUUAACCCACUGAGCAAGGGCAGGAAUUGAACCCGCAACCUCAUGGUUCCUAGUCGGAUUCGUUAAGCACUGCGCCAUGGUGGGAACUCCUAGUUAUUAAUUUUUAAACUCACACAGAGGUCGGGCUGCAACCGUGAAAGUUGUGGGAAGACCCACAUGCCAUGAGCCUCCAGGAGGGGCUGGGCCUGGUCAGGGGGCCAGCAGGACUUCCCUGAGGUUAAAGGCGGGUGCUCACUGGGCAGACGCAGAGGGAGGGAGGGAAGAAACUUCUGGGCGGAGGGAGCAACCUCCUGCCAGGUGUGUGCUGGGCAGGUGCGUGGAGCCCAUAGGACUCACCGGCAGGCUUGCGGCUGGAGCAGAGGCUGGCGGGGAGCGCUUGCUGGAGCCCAGCUGUGCUCCACUGAGGCCACCUGGAGGGGUUUUGUCUUUGCCAUCGAGCCCUGAGAGGUCCUGCAAAGGUCUCGCGGGGGAGGGUGACACCUCAGCGUGGCAUUUGGAGGAAGGCACACGGACCUUCCAGCCAGGGGCCAAAGGAGAGGUGAGCGUGGCUUGGCCGCGGCAGCAGGUUGGAGGGCAGAUCUCAGGGUUGCCUCCGGCAGGAUGACAGGACCUGGGGGCGACUGAUGUGGGCGGGGAAGGUUGUCGCCUGUCUCCUAGGCCUUGGGGUGCGUGUUCCACAGCCUGGAGCCCAGCCUGGUGCAAGUGUGCGUGGGAGCCGGGGCCGCCCUCGAGCUCUGGGACCGUCCUCUACUCUCCUGACCCGGCAGGAGGCCGCCCGGCUGCGGAGGGAACCUCUGGACCUCGCCGUUCCUCCCUGCCUGCUGGUUGGCUCUGCCUUUCCUUCCGCCUGGGUCAGGCCCCGAACACGUCUGUUCAGGCUUGGGUCACAGCGAUCUCAGCUUCCGAGCGAGGCUUAUCGUGGGCUCUGACCUUUAACUCAGGCUUCAUGCGUGGAACGGCUCCAGCAACCUCGGAACUGCAGGGUUGGCUGCCGAGAGCUCAAAGGCGACCCCAAAGCCGGGCCACGGCCUUCCUGGGCCAGGCUCUAUGCUCCUUUCCAUCUUGGUUCCAACUCUUGGCUCCUGAUCUGCUCUGCCUGGUAAAUUCUGUCCUGGGGGCAGGCGGCACCGUCCCCGCCUUGUGGGACCUCCUGGGCCGGAGGGCUCUUUGGAGCCUUAUAUAUCCUUGGUCCAAGAUGUUACUGUUGUCAGUGAGGCUGCACCCGCGAGACAAAAUG
RNAcentral lists this long non-coding RNA (3190 nucleotides) under Sus scrofa (pig). RNAcentral's name for it is "lncRNA (ENSSSCG00015027317.1)". Lineage: Eukaryota; Metazoa; Chordata; Mammalia; Artiodactyla; Suidae. The record is from RNAcentral.